RNAcentral lists this ribosomal RNA (833 nucleotides) under uncultured bacterium. RNAcentral describes it as "bacterial SSU rRNA". It matches the Rfam family "Bacterial small subunit ribosomal RNA", at positions 56 to 916 of the family's 1533-position model. The record is from RNAcentral.
UGCAGUCGAACGGAUUGCCUUCGGGCAGUUAGUGGCGGACGGGUGAGUAACACGUGAGUGACCUGCCCUGGAGUGGGGAAUAACUCUGCGAAAGCAGAGCUAAUACCGCAUUCGCUUAUUUCAUCAUCGGAAUAAGUAAAGCUCCAUGCGCUUCAGGAGGGGCUUGCGGCCGAUUAGCUAGUCGGUGGGGUAAUGGCCUACCGAGGCAACGAUCGGUAGCUGGUCUGAGAGGAUGACCAGCCACACUGGGACUGAGACACGGCCCAGACUCCUACGGGAGGCAGCAGUAAGGAAUAUUCCACAAUGGUCGCAAGACUGAUGGAGCAACGCCGCGUGCGCGACGAAGCCCUUCGGGGUGUAAAGCGCUUUUCCCAGGGAUGAGAAUGGACAGUACCUGGGGAAUAAGCCUCGGCUAACUACGUGCCAGCAGCCGCGGUAAUACGUAGGAUGCAAGCGUUGUCCGGAAUCAUUGGGCGUAAAGGGUCCUGAGGUGGUUUGCUCAGUCCACUGUGAAAGUUCAGGGCUUACCCUUGAAAAUGCGGUGGAAACUAGCAGGCUAGAGUACGGUGGGGGCAGAGGGAAUUCCCGAUGUAGCGGUGAAAUGCAUAGAUAUCGGGAAGAACACCGAUGGCGAAGGCACUCUGCUGGGCCGACACUGACACUGAAAGACGAAAGCCAGGGGAGCGAAUGGGAUUAGAUACCCCAGUAGUCCUGGCCGUAAACGAUGGAUACUGAGUGCUGGGCGGUUCAACCCGUGCAGUGCUGUAGCUAACGCGUUAAGUAUCCCGCCUGGGGAGUAUGCUCGCAAGAGUGAAACUCAAAGGAAUUGACGG